Molecule: ribosomal RNA, 266 nt
Filed under: uncultured bacterium
Lineage: Bacteria
Description: partial 16S ribosomal RNA
Rfam family: Bacterial small subunit ribosomal RNA
Source: RNAcentral
GCAAGUCGAACGAGAAAGGGACUGCUUGCAGUCCUGAGUAGAGUGGCGCACGGGUGAGUAACACGUAGAUAAUCUACCUUUAAGCCUGGAAUAACUAUUCGAAAGGGUGGCUAAUACCGGAUGAAGUCGGUUGACAUAAGUUGAUUGAUGAAAGAUUGCCUCUUCUUGAAAGCAAUUGUUUGGAGAUGAGUCUGCGGACCAUUAGUUUGUUGGUGGGGUAAAGGCCUACCAAGACUGCGAUGGUUAGCUGGUCUGAGAGGAUGAUC